CCUACGGGGGGCAGCAGUGGGGAAUAUUGCACAAUGGGGGAAACCCUGAUGCAGCGACGCCGCGUGAGUGAAGAAGUCUUUCGGUAUGUAAAGCUCUAUCAGUAGGGAAGAAAAUGACGGUACCUGAUUAAGAAGCCCCGGAUAACUACGUGCCAGCAGCCGUGGUAAUACGGCGGGGGCAAGCGUUAUCCGGAUUUACUGGGUGUAAAGGGAGCGUAGUCGGCAGCAUAAGUCAGGAGUGAAAUGCCGGGGCUUAACCCCGGCAGUGCAUUGGAAACUGUGCAGCUAGAGUGCAGAAGAGGUAAGUGGAAUUCCUGGUGUAGCGGUGAAAUGCGUAGAUAUUAGGAAGAACACCAGUGGCGAAGGCGGCUUACUAGACUGUAACUGACGUUGAGGCUCGAAAGCGUGGGGAGCAAACAGGAUUAGAUACCCUUGUAGUC
Molecule: ribosomal RNA, 440 nt
Filed under: uncultured bacterium
Lineage: Bacteria
Description: partial 16S ribosomal RNA
Rfam family: Bacterial small subunit ribosomal RNA
Source: RNAcentral